GACGAACGCUGGCGGCGUGCCUAAUACAUGCAAGUAGAACGCACAGUUUAUACCGUAGCUUGCUACACCAUAGACUGUGAGUUGCGAACGGGUGAGUAACGCGUAGGUAACCUGCCUGGUAGCGGGGGAUAACUAUUGGAAACGAUAGCUAAUACCGCAUAAUAUUAAUUAUUGCAUGAUAAUUAAUUGAAAGGUGCAAUUGCACCACUACCAGAUGGACCUGCGUUGUAUUAGCUAGUAGGUGAGGUAACGGCUCACCUAGGCGACGAGACAUAGCCGACCUGAGAGGGUGAUCGGCCACACUGGGACUGAGACACGGCCCAGACUCCUACGGGAGGCAGCAGUAGGGAAGCUUCGGCAAUGGAGGAGAGUGUGACCGAGCAACGCCGCGUGAGUGAAGAAGGUUUUCGGAUCGUAAAGCUCUGUUGUAAGAGAAGAACGGGGGUGAGAGUGGAAAGUUCACAGUGUGACGGUAUCUUACCAGAAAGGGACGGCUAACUACGUG
This 505-nucleotide ribosomal RNA is filed under the name uncultured bacterium. Its description in RNAcentral is "partial 16S ribosomal RNA". It matches the Rfam family "Bacterial small subunit ribosomal RNA", at positions 28 to 507 of the family's 1533-position model. The record is from RNAcentral.